UACGGGGGGGGCAAGCGUUGUUCGGAAUUACUGGGCGUAAAGGGCUCGUAGGCGGCCAACUAAGUCCGACGUGAAAUCCCAAGGCUUAACCUUGGAACUGCGUCGGAUACUGGAUGGCUCGAAUUCGGGAGAGGGAUGCAGAAUUCCAGGUGUAGCGGUGAAAUGCGUAGAUAUCUGGAGGAAUACCGGUGGCGAAGGCGGCAUCCUGGACCGACACUGACGCUGAGGAGCGAAAGCCAGGGGAGCAAACGGG
This 253-nucleotide ribosomal RNA is filed under the name uncultured bacterium. RNAcentral's name for it is "partial 16S ribosomal RNA". It matches the Rfam family "Bacterial small subunit ribosomal RNA", at positions 524 to 776 of the family's 1533-position model. The record is from RNAcentral.